UNGUGCGAUUUUCAUGCCAGCGUGUGUCCU
This 30-nucleotide non-coding RNA is filed under the name Mus musculus (house mouse). Lineage: Eukaryota; Metazoa; Chordata; Mammalia; Rodentia; Muridae. The record is from RNAcentral.